AAAAAGUGUCCNGUUCUGGCUUCUUGACAGUGUUAGAGAGAUUUCCCAGGAAUAUAUCAUGUCUGCUACAACGAUUCAAGUUGCCAUGUGUGCUGCAUUGCUCACAGGAGUUAUGGGUCUACCAUUUGUCCCCGAGGAUGAAGCCAAUCAGUUCUUAAGACUUAAGAGACAAAUACCUUAUUCGGGCUACUGGGACCUGAGUAACAGCCAGAAUACGUGGGAUUCGAUCUUGGCUGAACAGGCUGAAGAAUACUGGACGGCACUGAGAACAACAGCACAGUAUUAUUUGGACCUGCGGCCAUUUGGAUAUGAUGUUGGUACUGACAGCAGGUAACACACUAACUCUUACGUGGAAUUAUCGUGGCAAUCUGAUGAUGUGCAUCUUCGAAAGCAGAAAUGAAAAUGAAAGUGACAUUGAUUCUUGGUGUGCUUUGGUUCAUCUUUUAUAUCAUCUUGACUCUAUAUCAGCACCUCAGACAGACAGUAUUAUCUAAGGAACAUUCUGCAAAUAUUGAAAACUGUUCCAGUGCAGAAUCUAUAGGCCCAGGAACUUCCUACCAAAAAAAGUUUACUUGUGGACAUUGCUAAAGCUUAUGUUUAAAUGAGGCAUUACUUGAAUUACACUGUUGGCGAUUAGCCAAAUUGCUUAAAUCCUUAUUUUGAUGAUAUGAGGGAACUUGGGACUUGAUAAACCCGAACCAAGUUUUCCCCAUUACUCCUGGGUAAGAUGUAGCCUAAGAUCCAGAGAUGCAAUGGGUAUAGAAGCCAAUGCAGCCAUCCACUGAUUAGGCAAAAUGGGUGAUCAAGUUCUUUCUUCCUAUCACUCUGAAUAUGAUAUUUAUUGAUUGAUAGAAUAUAUUUAUACCAUUAAUUGUGAAUCAUUUGACAAAGAUUUUAUAGCAACCUCUGAUAACUGUUGAAAUGUUGACAUUGUGGAAGGUGUGGGUCUAAAUCCGGAUGUCAAAGUGUGCUGCAAUUGUACAUAUUGCUAUUCUGUCUUAGGUGGUAAAUGAUCAUUAGUGUGCAGCUUUUGAGAGAUUUUUUUUAAAAAAAACACAUGCCUUAACUUUCUAGUUGCAGAUAUUGCAGGUGGAGUCUCUUCUGCUCUGGUGUAUUGGAACUUAAUGUUGUCCACUUACUACAGGGAGUCAUGUAGGAGGACUCCAGAAUCCCUAUAGUAAAAUAUCUGAUACAUCAAGUGUAGGUGUCAGCAUGAUACAGAUGGCAUAGAUCAGGGUCUGAAAAUCCAAGUCCUUUUUCAACAAUUGAAGCUGCAUUGUUUUCAUAGUCAAUCUUGGCCGUGAAGAGCACCAGAGACAUUUUUGCAUCCAGACCGGGAGGGGGGGAUAUAGUGCCAAUAUGGUGCUACUAUGUUUGGGUCGCCACAAGUAUCUGUGGCAACCCCACCAUAGCUAUGCUAUAACUCCCCACAAAACAUUCAUGGCGGGAUUUCCCGAAACAGCACUAAAACUUUCCUUGUGGAUGCAGGUGCCAUCGUUGUUCGACUCACCANGCAUACGUAUGGGCCAAAAAUACAGCUGCACAUGCACGGUGAUCACAAUUGUGAACUUCUGGGUAUUUCACACUAGCAAAAUACCUGGAAGCACAUAGCUUCCAAAGCACAAAGACAGAGCAGUCCCUGCACUGUUAGGACAGCAGACAAUUAUUCUGGAGGAGCUUUUCUCCAGAAUAUUGCCUUUUGGCACUUUAUUCAGCUGGUGUCUGGAGCCGGCCAAAGUAUUAACUUUUCUGAAAUUUUUGCCAGAUAUGCACAAGGAUGUUCCCUAUAAGACAUAAAGUAUCCUAGACAUAACAAUCAUCUUAAGUGUAUUAACAUUAUAGAAUAUAUUGAAAUGUAAGAAUUUCUGUUUAUUCAAAUUCAACAAAAUCUCUUUGGUCAAUUUAUUCAAGUUUAAUAUAUUCUAAGAUUAGUAAUAAUGUCAGGAUACAGACAAGAUUGAUAAACAGGCAAUACAUAGCAUUAUGUUUUAUUACCAAUCAGAAUUAACUCUGAUUUUGAUGAGUUAAUUGAAUAUGCAAUUACUUGCCCAAAUGAAUUAAUCUACUGUUAAAACUGGAGCUGAGGACUGAAGUUCAGGAAUGAACAAUAGAAAACUGUUGGAACAGACAGCUAGGUUAUUUUCUGAGCUAUUAUGAACAAAACUGUGAAUGUUAAAACUUUAACAGCACAUGCCAGAAGUGUCAGAUAUAGCCUGCAUCUGCUGACAUGAAAAGAAGUGGCUCAAAAGUGAUUAGAAGUGGCAGCAUGUAGCAAAGUAGCCCAGCUUACAUUUCCAUCCUAUCUCUAAUCCCCAUUAAAUGCCAGAAUAUUCAUUUGGAACACUAGCAAAUACCAGGUACCAUUUUUGAGAUGCUAUUUUUACUGCAUAUGGAUGCAGUCAUAGACUGAAGAUCAGAGGAUGUAAGUGAAUAAUCUUAUCUAGUUCCAGAGGGCCAUUGUAGAAGGCACACAGUCCCCUGUUCUGGAAUAUUGGGGAACUCAUUUUGGCGUUGCAAUGGAGAGCAGCACUGAAAUUUCCCCCCAGGAAUACCAAAGGCCAGGAAUAUUCAUUUUGGCAGGAUCUAACACAACAUGACAUUUCCCACUGGACUGGGCUGGUUGUGGCCUGGAUUGAGUGAUUUGGUCCAAGAUUGUAACGGUGACUGGCAGCCUGUGCUAAGGGCUCGUGCGAAGAGCCAUAUGCAUUACAGCAGCGCAGCCCAACCAUGGGAACACUUUGGAGACUGUUUUAAAGCAAUCUCACUGAAGUGGGCUAUGCACCAUUUUGAAAUAAAGAGAUUUUGAGAUAACUGAGUCA
RNAcentral lists this long non-coding RNA (2819 nucleotides) under Salvator merianae (Argentine black and white tegu). RNAcentral describes it as "lncRNA (ENSSMRG00000003320.1)". The record is from RNAcentral. Lineage: Eukaryota; Metazoa; Chordata; Lepidosauria; Squamata; Teiidae.